AGAGUUUGAUCCUGGCUCAGGAUGAACGCUGGUGGCGUGCUUAACACAUGCAAGUCGAACGAACCUUCGGGUUAGUGGCGGACGGGUGAGUAACGCGUGGGAAUCCGCCCUCAGGAGGGGGAUAACGACUGGAAACGGUCGCUAAUACCCCAUAUGCCGAGAGGUGAAAUGAAUUUCGCCUGAGGAUGAGCCCGCGUCUGAUUAGCUAGUUGGUGAGGUAAAGGCUCACCAAGGCGACGAUCAGUAGCUGGUCUGAGAGGAUGAUCAGCCACACUGGGACUGAGACACGGCCCAGACUCCUACGGGAGGCAGCAGUGGGGAAUUUUCCGCAAUGGGCGAAAGCCUGACGGAGCAACGCCGCGUGAGGGAUGAAGGCCUCUGGGCUGUAAACCUCUUUUCUCAAGGAAGAAGAUCUGACGGUACUUGAGGAAUAAGCCACGGCUAAUUCCGUGCCAGCAGCCGCGGUAAUACGGGAGUGGCAAGCGUUAUCCGGAAUCAUUGGGCGUAAAGCGUCCGCAGGUGGCUUUGUAAGUCUGCUGUUAAAGCGUGGAGCUUAACUCCAUUUCAGCGGUGGAAACUACAAAGCUUGAGUGUGGUAGGGGCAGAGGGAAUUCCCGGUGUAGCGGUGAAAUGCGUAGAUAUCGGGAAGAACACCAGUGGCGAAGGCGCUCUGCUGGGCCAUAACUGACACUCAUGGACGAAAGCCAGGGGAGCGAAAGGGAUUAGAUACCCCUGUAGUCCUGGCCGUAAACGAUGAACACUAGGCGUCGGGGGAAUCGACCCCCUCGGUGUCGUAGCCAACGCGUUAAGUGUUCCGCCUGGGGAGUACGCACGCAAGUGUGAAACUCAAAGGAAUUGACGGGGGCCCGCACAAGCGGUGGAGUAUGUGGUUUAAUUCGAUGCAACGCGAAGAACCUUACCAGGGUUUGACAUCCUGCGAACCUCUGAGAAAUCGGAGGGUGCCUUCGGGAACGCAGUGACAGGUGGUGCAUGGCUGUCGUCAGCUCGUGUCGUGAGAUGUUGGGUUAAGUCCCGCAACGAGCGCAACCCACGUCUUUAGUUGCCAGCAUUCAGUUGGGCACUCUAGAGAGACCGCCGGUGAUAAACCGGAGGAAGGUGUGGAUGACGUCAAGUCAUCAUGCCCCUUACAUCCUGGGCUACACACGUACCACAAUGCUACGGACAAAGGGCAGCGAACUCGCGAGAGCAAGCAAAUCCCAUAAACCGUGGCUCAGUUCAGAUCGUAGGCUGCAACUCGCCUACGUGAAGGAGGAAUCGCUAGUAAUCGCAGGUCAGCAUACUGCGGUGAAUACGUUCCCGGGCCUUGUACACACCGCCCGUCACACCAUGGAAGUUAGCCAAGCCCGAAGUCGUUACUGCAAC
This 1383-nucleotide ribosomal RNA is filed under the name uncultured cyanobacterium. Its description in RNAcentral is "bacterial SSU rRNA". It matches the Rfam family "Bacterial small subunit ribosomal RNA". Lineage: Bacteria; Bacillati; Cyanobacteriota. The record is from RNAcentral.